GGAUCCGGACUUCCCAGAGCCUGCCUGGAGCGCGCACUCAGCGGCUCUCGGGUCCCUGCGUCCCAGCGUCCCAGCCGCGGCCCGCUCCCCGCCGCCCCGCUCCUCCUCCUCCUCCUCCUCCUCCUCCCUGGGCGCCCCUCGCCCCCGCCUUUCAGUAGCUGCUAGGCUCGGGCUGCGGCCCCCCCCCAGCCCCUACUCGGCCACCUCCCCAACUCUCGGGGGUCCCUCCUGGAACGCGCGUCCUCGCCCCAUCCUUUCUUCCUUCCUUCCCUCGCGCCCGCCCUCGCUCUCCAGGUCUCCCGCCCGGGUCCCGGUGGCCUCGGUCCCCGCUCGGUCAGCCGGCGCCUCGCCCUGCCCGGAGUCCCCCGCGCACUUCCUGAGGCGCCCGCCGCCGCUGCCCGGCACAGCCCGCCGCGCCCGGGGAAGGGAAGAGUGGGCGAGCGCCCCGCGCCCAGCCUGCCCGGCGAGGGAGCACCGGGAAGAUGAACAACGGCGUCAAAGCCGAGAAGGAGAACACCGCGAGCGAGGCCAACCUUCAGGAGGAAGAGGUCCGGACCCUAUUUGUCAGUGGUCUGCCCCUGGACAUCAAACCUCGGGAGCUCUAUCUGCUUUUCAGACCAUUUAAGGGCUAUGAGGGUUCUCUUAUAAAGCUCACAUCUAAGCAGCCCGUAGGUUUUGUGAGUUUUGACAGUCGCUCAGAAGCAGAAGCUGCGAAGAAUGCUUUGAAUGGCAUCCGCUUCGAUCCUGAAAUUCCGCAAACACUACGACUAGAGUUUGCUAAGGCAAACACGAAGAUGGCCAAGAACAAACUAGUAGGGACUCCAAACCCCAGUACUCCUCUGCCCAACACUGUACCUCAGUUCAUUGCCAGAGAGCCAUAUGAGCUCACAGUGCCUGCACUUUACCCCAGUAGCCCUGAAGUGUGGGCCCCGUACCCUCUGUACCCAGCGGAGUUAGCGCCUGCUCUACCUCCUCCUGCUUUCACCUAUCCCGCUUCACUGCAUGCCCAGAUGCGCUGGCUCCCUCCCUCCGAGGCUACUUCUCAGGGCUGGAAGUCCCGUCAGUUCUGCUGAAUACUACGUUCCAGGUGUGUGAUGGUGGCUGCAAUCUGUCUUGUGGGUAUUAAUGCAUCUUCAGUGGUGGCUACUGUUCUCGAGCUGUUCUACAAAACUGGAGCAUGCUGAUGGUGGGAAACCAGAGUCUAGCAGAAGAAAUGUAGCUUUCAAGAGGGGGUCCUGCUGGCCCUGCUCACUAAGCAUCAGGACACGUUUACCUACACCAGCGACGGGGCGUGAACAGACCACCAUCUGCUGAGCAGGGGCUGCUCCCGCUAUUGUGUUUGACCAGGGGAAGCAAGAGUCAGAAAGUGAGAUUUCCUAAAGGUGCGCGCUGCUAACUGCUGGACACAUGCUUCUGUUCCAGAGAAUUCUGAGAAAGUAAAGGGGGCAGGUAGGAGCUAGGGGCCGCUGAGGUGUCAUGCAUGAUAUUGGGUUUUCUGACUCGUGGCAGAUUAUUAGUUUGACCCACUUAUGCUGUCAUCUACAAACCUGGCUGUGACAGGACUGACCGGCACUGGACAAACCUGAUUUGGGAAGGAGUCUGUACCAAAAUAUGUUUCUAAUUUCAGGAUUUACUGCUACAUAUAUAUUUUCCCAAAUAAGUCUAACUUAGGACAAUUAUAUGGGUUUUCAAUAAUGAUGCUAUUUUCGUUAUAGCCUCCUCCCACUCACAAAUAAGCAUUUCCUGUACAAAAUUCCAGUUAUACUGAUUUACGCCUACAUACACUUUUUCUACAACCACAAAUUUAUGAGUCUGACAUGCUGGUGAGAUGACAGCAAGAAAAGGUACUUGGAGAGAGAAAAUUAAAAUGACAGAAUAAUCACAGAGUUUCGUUAACACUGUUAACUAAAUCUAGACACAGAGGAGCAGAGAUACACUUCAGAACAUCCUGGGCCAGAGGCGGCUCUGCCAGCGGCAGUCGAAGGACUCUGAUUGUUCCAAGGCCCCACAAAGCAAGACAAGUAUGAGCAUUUCCUUGCAACUGCAGGGGAAGGAGGUAUUGGGAAUUUCUAAUAAGAGAUAAAUGGAAAUUAAAUAUACUCCCUACGUAUCUAAGGUUAGACACCAAUACUCUUGUGUCUUUACUUGGUGAGUCAGUAAAUAUAUUGCACGCUGACACACACACACCUUUUCGCAGAGAAUCACCAAGGAUUUCCCCAGGUGAAAGUUUCGUGAAUUCUAUCAACAGGUGUCUCCCAGCACAACCCCGCAGCAGGCAGGAGGAAUUACUGCACCUUUGAGACCUGCUUUCCUCACACAUUCCUUUCUCUUUCAGGCUUGAAAAAACCAUGCCCAGUUUUGAUUUGAUCCCUUCAAGACUUUGCCACAGCCUCUAUCACACAUCUGUUUUUCUUGAAGAAAAAAAUAUAAUAAAAAUGUUUUACUCUUUUACACUGUAUAAUUUUAACAAAUAGUGUGUUAUUUGUGAAUGCAUGGUCUGACGUACAUUUCUGUACAGUGUGGAGAUAUUUUCAAAUGAAACAUAAAAGAUGUCAACAAUAAA
RNA transcript from Myotis lucifugus (little brown bat), 2563 nucleotides. It is a transcript of the gene named RNA binding protein, mRNA processing factor, with no coding region annotated. The transcript is spliced from 9 exons. The record is from RefSeq and is a predicted model, not a curated record. Lineage: Eukaryota; Metazoa; Chordata; Mammalia; Chiroptera; Vespertilionidae.